This 2903-nucleotide ribosomal RNA is filed under the name Escherichia coli. Its description in RNAcentral is "bacterial LSU rRNA". It matches the Rfam family "Bacterial large subunit ribosomal RNA". Lineage: Bacteria; Pseudomonadati; Pseudomonadota; Gammaproteobacteria; Enterobacterales; Enterobacteriaceae. The record is from RNAcentral.
UUAAGCGACUAAGCGUACACGGUGGAUGCCCUGGCAGUCAGAGGCGAUGAAGGACGUGCUAAUCUGCGAUAAGCGUCGGUAAGGUGAUAUGAACCGUUAUAACCGGCGAUUUCCGAAUGGGGAAACCCAGUGUGUUUCGACACACUAUCAUUAACUGAAUCCAUAGGUUAAUGAGGCGAACCGGGGGAACUGAAACAUCUAAGUACCCCGAGGAAAAGAAAUCAACCGAGAUUCCCCCAGUAGCGGCGAGCGAACGGGGAGCAGCCCAGAGCCUGAAUCAGUGUGUGUGUUAGUGGAAGCGUCUGGAAAGGCGUGCGAUACAGGGUGACAGCCCCGUACACAAAAAUGCACAUGCUGUGAGCUCGAUGAGUAGGGCGGGACACGUGGUAUCCUGUCUGAAUAUGGGGGGACCAUCCUCCAAGGCUAAAUACUCCUGACUGACCGAUAGUGAACCAGUACCGUGAGGGAAAGGCGAAAAGAACCCCGGCGAGGGGAGUGAAAAAGAACCUGAAACCGUGUACGUACAAGCAGUGGGAGCACGCUUAGGCGUGUGACUGCGUACCUUUUGUAUAAUGGGUCAGCGACUUAUAUUCUGUAGCAAGGUUAACCGAAUAGGGGAGCCGAAGGGAAACCGAGUCUUAACUGGGCGUUAAGUUGCAGGGUAUAGACCCGAAACCCGGUGAUCUAGCCAUGGGCAGGUUGAAGGUUGGGUAACACUAACUGGAGGACCGAACCGACUAAUGUUGAAAAAUUAGCGGAUGACUUGUGGCUGGGGGUGAAAGGCCAAUCAAACCGGGAGAUAGCUGGUUCUCCCCGAAAGCUAUUUAGGUAGCGCCUCGUGAAUUCAUCUCCGGGGGUAGAGCACUGUUUCGGCAAGGGGGUCAUCCCGACUUACCAACCCGAUGCAAACUGCGAAUACCGGAGAAUGUUAUCACGGGAGACACACGGCGGGUGCUAACGUCCGUCGUGAAGAGGGAAACAACCCAGACCGCCAGCUAAGGUCCCAAAGUCAUGGUUAAGUGGGAAACGAUGUGGGAAGGCCCAGACAGCCAGGAUGUUGGCUUAGAAGCAGCCAUCAUUUAAAGAAAGCGUAAUAGCUCACUGGUCGAGUCGGCCUGCGCGGAAGAUGUAACGGGGCUAAACCAUGCACCGAAGCUGCGGCAGCGACACUAUGUGUUGUUGGGUAGGGGAGCGUUCUGUAAGCCUGUGAAGGUGUACUGUGAGGUAUGCUGGAGGUAUCAGAAGUGCGAAUGCUGACAUAAGUAACGAUAAAGCGGGUGAAAAGCCCGCUCGCCGGAAGACCAAGGGUUCCUGUCCAACGUUAAUCGGGGCAGGGUGAGUCGACCCCUAAGGCGAGGCCGAAAGGCGUAGUCGAUGGGAAACAGGUUAAUAUUCCUGUACUUGGUGUUACUGCGAAGGGGGGACGGAGAAGGCUAUGUUGGCCGGGCGACGGUUGUCCCGGUUUAAGCGUGUAGGCUGGUUUUCCAGGCAAAUCCGGAAAAUCAAGGCUGAGGCGUGAUGACGAGGCACUACGGUGCUGAAGCAACAAAUGCCCUGCUUCCAGGAAAAGCCUCUAAGCAUCAGGUAACAUCAAAUCGUACCCCAAACCGACACAGGUGGUCAGGUAGAGAAUACCAAGGCGCUUGAGAGAACUCGGGUGAAGGAACUAGGCAAAAUGGUGCCGUAACUUCGGGAGAAGGCACGCUGAUAUGUAGGUGAAGCGACUUGCUCGUGGAGCUGAAAUCAGUCGAAGAUACCAGCUGGCUGCAACUGUUUAUUAAAAACACAGCACUGUGCAAACACGAAAGUGGACGUAUACGGUGUGACGCCUGCCCGGUGCCGGAAGGUUAAUUGAUGGGGUUAGCCGCAAGGCGAAGCUCUUGAUCGAAGCCCCGGUAAACGGCGGCCGUAACUAUAACGGUCCUAAGGUAGCGAAAUUCCUUGUCGGGUAAGUUCCGACCUGCACGAAUGGCGUAAUGAUGGCCAGGCUGUCUCCACCCGAGACUCAGUGAAAUUGAACUCGCUGUGAAGAUGCAGUGUACCCGCGGCAAGACGGAAAGACCCCGUGAACCUUUACUAUAGCUUGACACUGAACAUUGAGCCUUGAUGUGUAGGAUAGGUGGGAGGCUUUGAAGUGUGGACGCCAGUCUGCAUGGAGCCGACCUUGAAAUACCACCCUUUAAUGUUUGAUGUUCUAACGUUGACCCGUAAUCCGGGUUGCGGACAGUGUCUGGUGGGUAGUUUGACUGGGGCGGUCUCCUCCUAAAGAGUAACGGAGGAGCACGAAGGUUGGCUAAUCCUGGUCGGACAUCAGGAGGUUAGUGCAAUGGCAUAAGCCAGCUUGACUGCGAGCGUGACGGCGCGAGCAGGUGCGAAAGCAGGUCAUAGUGAUCCGGUGGUUCUGAAUGGAAGGGCCAUCGCUCAACGGAUAAAAGGUACUCCGGGGAUAACAGGCUGAUACCGCCCAAGAGUUCAUAUCGACGGCGGUGUUUGGCACCUCGAUGUCGGCUCAUCACAUCCUGGGGCUGAAGUAGGUCCCAAGGGUAUGGCUGUUCGCCAUUUAAAGUGGUACGCGAGCUGGGUUUAGAACGUCGUGAGACAGUUCGGUCCCUAUCUGCCGUGGGCGCUGGAGAACUGAGGGGGGCUGCUCCUAGUACGAGAGGACCGGAGUGGACGCAUCACUGGUGUUCGGGUUGUCAUGCCAAUGGCACUGCCCGGUAGCUAAAUGCGGAAGAGAUAAGUGCUGAAAGCAUCUAAGCACGAAACUUGCCCCGAGAUGAGUUCUCCCUGACUCCUUGAGAGUCCUGAAGGAACGUUGAAGACGACGACGUUGAUAGGCCGGGUGUGUAAGCGCAGCGAUGCGUUGAGCUAACCGGUACUAAUGAACCGUGAGGCUUAACCUU